Molecule: long non-coding RNA, 2613 nt
Filed under: Citrus x clementina
Lineage: Eukaryota; Viridiplantae; Streptophyta; Magnoliopsida; Sapindales; Rutaceae
Description: Citrus clementina (C. clementina) long non-coding RNA (CCLE_LNC005458)
Source: RNAcentral
AAAUAAAUUUUACUUUAAUAGUUAUUCUAAAUAGAACCUUAAUACCACCGAGUAAAGUCAUAACUUACUCCAAUUUGAAUUAAAUAGCCCAUGUUUCGGCCCAUAACCCAUACUAAAGCAUAUGUUAAAUGGACUGCUACUAACUUGGGCCCGCCAAUAUAGUGCAUUAAGCCGAUUUUCAAAAAUUACAUUAUAUGUAUCUUGAGUUUCACAUCUCGUAUUAAAUAAAUUACUAAAUGAUUAUAUCAUCUAAAGGAGUCUUAAAGGAGUACAUCAUCACUUAAAAUCUAAACUUUUCUUUUGCUUUUUCUUCAAAUUACAUGCAUUGUUUCCUUUAACUUGAAAACAAAAUGUUAUUAUCCUUUUCAUGAUUAUUACUUUCACCCUUGUGCCCUUAGGCUUUUGAAAAUUGCCUUUCCUUUCUCUUGAAAUUUAGUAGCAUUACGUAAGUAGUAGUGUUACUUGGAUGUUAGGAUCUCCUCUUCAUAGGAAUUAGUCUCUGUUGCCUUUCCAGUUUGAUUCAAGACCGUUUGGUAUAAAGAUGUUAUAGUUUUUAAGCCAUAGUUUCGAUAGAAAAAAAAAAAAAAAAACAAAGUGUAACUAUAAAAUAAAAGUUGAUAAUGUAUAAUAAAUAUGAUUUUUAAAUAAUAAUUUUUAUAAAAAAAUAGUAAAUAUAUUGUAGGAUUUUCACCAUAUAAUUGUGAAAAUCAAAUUAACCUAUCUUUUAAGUCAUAGCAGUUGAUGUUUACCAAACAUUUAAGUGUUGGACCUGCCUAUCCUCAAUACUAAACAAGCCAUUAGUAAAUUGUACACUAACUAUUAUUUGUUGAGAUUGCCUUCUUUAAAACUUUAGUGCAAUUUGCAAUGUAAAUUUAAUCAUUAAGUAAUUUAUGAUCGUGGAUUAGGAUUAAUUAAUCAUAUAAAAAAUCCAAACACCAAGUCAAAAUAUUUUUUUUUAUAAUGUUUACGAGAUCCAAAUGUUUCAUAUAGAAUUAUAAAUCAUUCGAUAAUGUUGUUUCCUUCUAGAGAACUUUUGAAAGUAAUUUAUAAACCCUAAUGGAGCACAUAAUCGCACGAGUGUGUAGUUAGUUGAUCCCAAAAGGAUUUGCAUCUAUAAUUAAUCUAAGAAAAAGUGUCUCCAAAAUAAUAUUUUUGCCUUCAUUAAUAAUCCACAUUCUCUUUUUUUUUUUUUAACAUUUCAAAAUUAAAAAAAAAAAUUGAAAAGUUUGCUAGUUGCGUACAUAAUGAAUUGGAGUGGUUGAAAGCAGCUGCUUUAAUUUGUUUAAUCUUGGCAUGCCUUGAAAAGUUAGUAACUAAAGGAAAGCCACUUUGAUAACUUUCCUCCUAUAAUUUCUAAAUUAUUUUUACUUUGAGCAUGAUUGAUGUCUUAACUUUGUCAAAAUUAUUUUGAUAAAACGACCUGAAAAUUAUUACUUAUUCUUCUACUCUACCAUAAUACACACUUACCUGUGACUUCUCAAUUCCUUCUUCUUCUUUUUUCCUUUUGGUUGCUGCAAUUAUGCAGAUGUUGAAGCUUUCAGUUUCAGCCUUAGGUUGUUACACUGUUCUUUUCAUUCUUGGUGUGGACUCUUUUUGGAAAGAUAAGACAGGAAUUCAUCAUAAGUUAAAAAGACAACUUACAUAAAGCCAUAAAUGAUAUUAACAUGGACCACUCGCUUUCUUUCAGUUGUCUUAUGGUAAAAUUGCCUUUUUAUUCAAAGUUAUUUUCCCAAAUAAUUGAUCAACUUUAUCUUCCCAAAUAAUUGAUCAACUUUGCCAGAAGAUAUAUCAGCUCUUUCUGUUUUUUAUUUUUUUUUGAAAAAACACUGAUGAUAAUACUGACAAUCAUGGUGCUAUAUUGGGGCUAAGGUACAUGUAAACUUAAGAUCCAUCUUAAGGUGAUUUUCAGUUAAACAUAAUGUAUUAUUAAGUUAAAACAUAAAUUAAUUUGUAAAUAUAACUAGAAAACAGAGAAUGUAAUAAAAGGAUUUCUGAUUAAUGCAAUGCAAAACUCUUCUCUUCCUCCCUACUCCUCUCUCUUGCUCUUGUGUCUCAGAAAUUUUCUCAUUCAACCCAUUUCCUUGCUUAGAAAACCGCUCUCUCUUGUUUGUCUUGUUCUGUUUUGUAUGUUAUAGUUUGAUUUUCUUUCACUUUACAAGUUAGAUAUGUGAUUUUCUUCCAUGAUAAAAGAAUCGAGGGAAUAUCUUCUAGAGCUCAAAUUGGAUAUGUGCACUAUGCACAACAAUUAUUGGUGUUGCACAAAAUCGAGAUCUUCAGUGUGAAAAUAUUAUGAUUUGAUCAACUGAUCAUUGAAAUAUUAGAUUAUCUAUAAACUGGUCUUGUCCAUCUAUGGGUCAGUUUGGUAAUUACGCAGUUUUUAAAAUAAUUAAUGUCAAUUGUACUAUAAAAAUAAUUAGUUGUGAAGACAAUUAGUUAAACGUUUAGUAAAAUUUAUUGUUAAAAGUGUUAUGAGUUUUAAAAAUAGUUGCAUGUAUUUAAUAAAUUUUAUUGUUAACUUGUUGUAGGAAUGUAAAUGAUUGAAUUAGACAUAAUGUCAAAUAAAAUUUAUUUACAAAUUUAUAAACAUGUAAAUAGAAUAGUUUUUAUCGUGUA